GGUAUGGCGCCGGAUGAACGGAUAACUCUGAUGACGUUAAUUAAGGAGCCUUAACUCCCCAUACCU
This 66-nucleotide transfer RNA is filed under the name Amynthas yunoshimensis. Its description in RNAcentral is "tRNA-Ile". The record is from RNAcentral. Lineage: Eukaryota; Metazoa; Annelida; Clitellata; Crassiclitellata; Megascolecidae.